Long non-coding RNA from Dermochelys coriacea (leatherback sea turtle), 4137 nucleotides. RefSeq lists it as uncharacterized. The transcript is spliced from 6 exons. The record is from RefSeq and is a predicted model, not a curated record. Lineage: Eukaryota; Metazoa; Chordata; Testudines; Dermochelyidae.
CUCCAACUCAUUCCCUCUGAGUUGUAUUGGCCCCUGCAAGGCUAACUGGUGUAAAAAGCAGUAAAAACAUAUUUUUGUCAUAAAAGUCAGCAGGUAAGACUCUGAACACACAGAGAGCAGCAUAGGUGCUCAAACUAGACGUGCUGGGGGGUGCUUCAGCACUCCCUGGCUUGAAGGAGUAAUAACGCAAAUAUGUAGUUUCUGCCUACAGCACCCCCCACUAUAAAAAUUGUUCCAGCACCACUGGAGCGCAGAGCUGUUGAGGAAGAAGGUGCUGUUUUUCCCUUUUCAGAACAAGUCUGCAUUUUAAGGGUUUCUUAUGAACACAAGACACCGAGGAUGAGCGUUGUUUUCUUUAUUAUAUAUCAGCACCAUCAGUGAUGGCAACCCAACUCUAUGAAUGAGAUUUAUUAGCUAGCUUGUGCCCCCUCUGAUGGCUGAAUAGCUGAUGCUGUAACAACAAAGCAUAAAUGUUUUAAGGUGCUUCAAAAAUAAUGUCUAUUUUGGUUUGGUUUCAGAGUGGUAGUCUGUAUCAGCAAAAACAAUGAGCAGUCCUUGUGCCACCUUAAAGACUGACACAUUGAUUUGGGCAUAAGCUUUCAUGGGCUAAAACCUACUUCAUCAGAUGCAUGGAGUGAAAAAUACAGAAUGCAUCUGAUGAAGUGGGUUUUAGCCACGAAAGCUUAUGCCCAAAUCAAUUUGUUAAUCUCUAAGGUGCCACAAGGACUCCUCUCUGUUUUUAUUUUGGUUUGGUUUGAGUUUACAAGCAACAAAUUGGUAGAUAAAAAAAUAAUUCACAUUUAGAAUUAUUAGAAGAGUCCCAUCCCCACUGGAUUUAUAACAAUAUUAAACUACCAUGAAUAACAAUUUUGGAAAGAAGUACAUGAUAAUAUCCUUUCUGUAACAGGGUGGCUGACCCUAAGAACAUGCAUAGGAAUGUACAGUUCUUUUGCUGAGUCACAUUAGGCUCAGAUGCUAAAACCCUGUGUUAUGGUACAAGGUAAUUACUGCUGAGUCAUGCUGGUAGAUGCAGUUUUGGGAGCUUGGACGGAGGACAUACUGUGGAGAAUCCUAAAAGAGCCAAGCCUGGGCUGGAAGCUUAUGCUAAGAAUUUGAAAGAAGAGGAAUUUGGGAUGGAGAGGACAUUCCAGUCAUAGGAAGCAGGGUGGAAGAAGGCAUGAGAAUGAAAGGAGAUGAAGGGAGAAACAAGUCCCCCUAUUACUAAGAGAACACAAAAUUCUGGAAAUCAAGGGAGCUUGAGAUUCCCAGUGACCUGAGAGUGGAGAGAGGCACUAGUCUUCUCAGCGAAGAGCUUCACACCCUCGAAGGGGAGGUCCUCCAUUGUGGUCUGCACCUCCUUCGGGAAUCCCAAGAAGUAAAGCCAUGAUGCCAGUCUCAUCACCAAAGCCAUAGAGAUGGAUCUGGCAGCCAUGUUGUUUUUGCCACUAAUUGCCUCUCCUGAAUGAUGGCCUUGAAGGAAUCUCAAGAACUCUCUGGUAGCUUGUCAUUUAACUUAUUAUAAUUUGUGUAAUAAUAUUUUGCCAAGAGCACCUGGUAGUUGACAAUACAAAAUUGUAAGGUGGUCGAAGAAUAUGCCUUCCUACUAAAGAGAUCAAGGCGCUUCCAGUCUCUGUCACAGGGUGAUGCCCUGGAAUGGUGUUGUCAGCCACAAGAGUUUACAGAGUCCACUACUAUGGAGUCGGGUGGUGAGUGAUUGAAAAGGAACUCUGAUUCCUUUGUGGGGACAUAAUAUUUCUUGUCUGCCCUCUCACAUGUCGGGGUUACCAAUGCCGGGGUUUGCCACACCAUCGUAGCCAGGUUUAGGAUAGACUUAUUGAUUGGGAGGGCGAUUUUCGAGGAAGACGAGGAGUGGAAAAUGUUGAUGAGCUGGUGGUGCAUGUCUUUGACCUUCUCCAAUGGUAUGUGAAGAGUGGUCUGCUACUCUUUUUCCAGUUCCUGAAACAGGCAGAAGUCAUCUGCCAUCAACAGUGGUGACAGAAUGACCACUUUGUAUGAGGAUGAGGAGGAUAUGGCCUUAGGGGUUAUCUCCUCCUCCAUGUCCUCUCCUUACUCCUCCAUUUCUUAAGGCUCUGAGGCCCUCAAUGCUGUGGCUGAGGGAUCGUGCCUGGAGGGUUGUUGGACAAUGCUUGAAGCCCGGGAGGCUGGCUGUUCGUGUGCCACCCAAAGGUCCCAGUAUGGCCACUGUGGUGACACAGGGCCUGUCGGAGGUGCCCCAUGGGUGGUCGUACCAAGAUGCUGGUGGUGCCAUCUGCUGGUACAUUCCUGCUUACUAUCUGACCCCUCACUUGAUAGUCGAGGGGCAUGGCAUGAUAGCAGGGAGAUAUCCCAUUCCCAGCAAUGGCUCGGUGCCAUGAUCUCAGUAUCAAGGGGUGAAGAGUGAGUGCCUCCGUCUUGCCUAUGUCAUCGGUCUAAUGGAAUUCCACCCGUACCAAGUGUCCUGGUGUCAGUGAUACAAAGUGAGAUGGUGGUUGCUUUUGGUUAUCCCUGGGCUUACUGAGGGGACUUCCGCUCUUUUUUAACUUGUCAGGGGGUCCCCAGUCUGUUUCUUUGAUCCACUGUCCUUUCAAGUCGAAGACUGAGGGGAAGACUCACAUCCACUGGAAGGUUGGGGUCAGAGAGACGCAUCCAUAAAGAUGAUUUUUUGGCAAAGUUCUCUGUCCUUGCAGGAUCUUGGCUGGAGUUGCUGGCAGAGGGAGCACUUCUGCUGGAUGGGGCCCUCGCUGAGACAGUAGACGCACUGAGAGUGCUUGUCUGCAAUUGGCAUUGCCUUGCUGCAAGGCAAGCACUUCUUGAAGCCCAAAGAGCCAGCAUAACCUUGUCCAGUGGGGUCCCCUCUCCCGCACUGGGUGUUGACAAAAGAACAAAGUCCUUCCUUUGUCUUCUUUCUUCUUCCUUCUUUUUUUAAAGGCAUGGUCAAAUAAACAGAAGAAAAGAAACAAUGAGGCUUCAAAGGGAGCUAAAAUUUAGUAAAUUGACCCCACAACGUAGAUGCCUGAGGAUUCCUCCUCCAUGAUCUCUCUGCUUCUGGGCCCCACAUAUAGAAAAAACAUGGUGAUUCUGCUGUGGUUUGGGCCCUCUGUGGCCACCAAAGUACCUGGAGGAUUCAGCCUUGUGGCAAGGUGAGAUUAACCAAACCUACCAGGAAGUAACUGAUCAUCAAAAUAUAGAAUGCAGGUAAAAAAGCAAGCAUCAGUAACCUGCUCUUUUACUGCUAGUUCUCACACUAGGAUACUUCAAGGACUCUACUUCUCCUUACAUACUUUUUAUCCAGAAGCCUAAAGAAACAUUCCUGAAAGCCGGUUGGCUGUAAGUUUUUAUGAGCAUUUUUGAGUUUUUUUAAACUAUAGCAUGUUCCUAAAUGAAGUGUGGGAGCUGGAAUUUGCCCUUAUGCAUUUUUGUGAUACUAUGAAGACUAUGAAUUAAUGUUUUGUGAUGUUCCUGAAAUUAGAAGCUCCAUGAACCUAUCAUUUUAUGAUAUUUAUGAUUUGCUUCAUAAUUCAUUCUCCACAGACAAAUCAAAAGUCCAAAUGCAAUUGCUGUUGUGGGAUAAUAAGGCAUGAAGUGGUGUGUUUGGAGUUAAAUUUACAUAAGAAGAAAGAUGUUGGAAAAGUUUAUGAUGAUCAGAACAACUGAUGAAGAUGCCAGACUGCUAGUUUCCCAGAAACUACUGAAAAAAAUACUCUGUCACUAGUGUGAAUAAUUAAAGGCAUAUCAGAGGAUUUGAUGGUUUUACAAAACGGGGAGUUUUUCAUAAAAUGUUACAUUUUUCUGACUUUGUGAUCCGAGGUUUCAAGUCAAUAGGGCUCAAUGGGGGACCAUCGAAUCUAAAGGGCUACGCCCCCUCUGUGGCGCUCAUGACAUCUAGUGGUAAGAAUCCCCAAGGCCAUUCUUUCUCAUUCAGGGCAGCAACACCUAGCAACAAGUGUCCCCAGGGCCACCCUUCCUCUCAGGGCAGCAGCAAGAGGUCACAUGCUCUCUCAGGGCAGCACUGCCCAGUGUCAACAGUCCAAGGCACUAGCGCCUAGUACCAACAGUCCCAGGCAGUAGCACCUAGUAGGGGAACCUGGGCCCCCCCUCCUGCAGCAGGUUCCAUCCCAGGGCCCUACGAAACCAAUC